GUCGGGCUGUGGGUAUCCCCCAACAGUUGCCCCCCUCCACUCCUAAGUCGGGUGGCGAGCUGGCCGAUGCAUUCAUUCGGGCAGCAAUCCUGGACGACUGGGAGUGGAUUUGUCGUACGCAUAGAUCCGACCGUACCGCCGGCUGAUCCGACGUCAGACGCCUCAUAAAUGCCAAGCGAUCUGGACGUCUAGUCGGUGUCAGAAGUUACGUCGGCAUCAGGUGUCAGACGUCGCGUCUUGUCGUCGUCAGAUGUUGCGUCGGUGUCAGAAGAUCGGGCGCCGG
RNAcentral lists this long non-coding RNA (283 nucleotides) under Elaeis guineensis (African oil palm). Its description in RNAcentral is "long non-coding RNA (EGUI_LNC027310)". The record is from RNAcentral. Lineage: Eukaryota; Viridiplantae; Streptophyta; Magnoliopsida; Arecales; Arecaceae.